RNAcentral lists this ribosomal RNA (462 nucleotides) under uncultured bacterium. RNAcentral describes it as "partial 16S ribosomal RNA". It matches the Rfam family "Bacterial small subunit ribosomal RNA", at positions 28 to 507 of the family's 1533-position model. The record is from RNAcentral.
GACGAACGCUGGCGGCGUGCUUAACACAUGCAAGUCGAACGGAAAGGCCCUUCGGGGUACUCGAGUGGCGAACGGGUGAGUAACACGUGGGUGAUCUGCCCUGCACUUUGGGAUAGCCUGGGAAACUGGGUCCUAUACCGAAUAGGACCCCCGCCCUCCAUGUUUUGUGUGGGAAAGCUUUUGCGGUGUGGGAUGGGCCCGCGGCCUAUCAGCUUGUUGGUGGGGUAAUGGCCUACCAAGGCGACGACGGGUAGCCGGCCUGAGAGGGUGACCGGCCACACUGGGACUGAGAUACGGCCCAGACUCCUACGGGAGGCAGCAGUGGGGAAUAUUGCACAAUGGGCGCAAGCCUGAUGCAGCGACGCCGCGUGAGGGAUGACGGCCUUCGGGUUGUAAACCUCUUUCAAUAGGGACGAAGCGCAAGUGACGGUACCUAUAGAAGAAGCACCGGCCAACUACGUG